This 349-nucleotide unclassified non-coding RNA is filed under the name fungal sp. RNAcentral's name for it is "partial internal transcribed spacer region". The stretch from base 1 to 44 matches the Rfam family "Eukaryotic small subunit ribosomal RNA", at positions 1788 to 1831 of the family's 1831-position model. Lineage: Eukaryota; Fungi. The record is from RNAcentral.
GUCGUAACAAGGUUUCCGUAGGUGAACCUGCGGAAGGAUCAUUACCACACCGAUCCACGAUCUUUUUUCACGCGAAGAGGGGGGGUCCGACGUGCGCCCGUGGGUGUGCGUUGUUUGCGGGUGCUUCGGCGCUUACGAAGCGUGUUGGUUGACGACGUAGUGCUUUUGUGCUACGACGUGCCUUCACGUGUCUCCUCCGGCCUUACCAACUAAAAUAUAUACCUUUUUUGGUACAGCCACCAGCACGAACUCAUCAACUGAAACUAAACUUGGCGGUCACACUCAACGUAAUCGCUGGGUCCACAAACAAAUGAAAUACAACUUUCAGCAACGGAUGUCUAGGUUCCCA